This 494-nucleotide ribosomal RNA is filed under the name uncultured bacterium. RNAcentral's name for it is "partial 16S ribosomal RNA". It matches the Rfam family "Bacterial small subunit ribosomal RNA", at positions 28 to 507 of the family's 1533-position model. The record is from RNAcentral.
GACGAACGCUGGCGGCGCGCUUAACACAUGCAAGUCGAACGGAAAGGCCUGCUUUCCCUUGUGGAUUGCGGGUACUCGAGUGGCGAACGGGUGAGUAACACGUGAGUGAUCUGCCCCCAACUUGGGUAUAAGCCUGGGAAACUGGGUCUAAUUCCCGAUAGGACUGCAGGGUGGUGCCUGUGGUGGAAAACGAUUUUCUAGUGGUUGGGGAUGAGCUCGCGGCCUAUCAGCUUGUUGGUGGGGUAAUGGCCUACCAAGGCGGCGACGGGUAGCCGGCCUGAGAGGGUGGACGGCCACACUGGGACUGAGAUACGGCCCAGACUCCUACGGGAGGCAGCAGUGGGGAAUAUUGCACAAUGGGCGGAAGCCUGAUGCAGCGACGCCGCGUGGGGGAUGACGGCCUUCGGGUUGUAAACUCCUUUCGACCGCGAGGAAGCCACCUGGUUGGAAGGGUGGUGACGGUAGUGGUAGAAGAAGCACCGGCUAACUACGUG